RNAcentral lists this non-coding RNA (48 nucleotides) under Schistosoma mansoni. Lineage: Eukaryota; Metazoa; Platyhelminthes; Trematoda; Strigeidida; Schistosomatidae. The record is from RNAcentral.
AUCCAGCUGAUGAGUCCCAAAUAGGACGAAACGCACACCAAACUGGAU